ACGUGAUCUGAGUUCAGACCGGAGCAAUCCAGGUCAGUUUCUAUCUAUAAUAGGGGCUCUCUCUAGUACGAAAGGACCGAAAAAGCACGGCCAAUAUUCCCUGCAAGCCGCAACUAGUAAAGCGUGACUAAUUCUCAAUAAACAUUUAAUCCACCAGUUAAGCUUCAGAAAAGAGU
This 176-nucleotide ribosomal RNA is filed under the name Phyllodytes sp. 4 BLB-2020. RNAcentral describes it as "partial 16S ribosomal RNA". The record is from RNAcentral. Lineage: Eukaryota; Metazoa; Chordata; Amphibia; Anura; Hylidae.